UGGGGAAUAUUGCGCAAUGGAGGGAACUCUGAUGCAGCGACGCCGCGUGAACGAAGAAGGCUUUCGAGUCGUAAAGUUCUUUUAUAUGGGAAGAUAAUGACGGUACCAUAAGAAGAAGCCCCGGCUAACUACGUGCCAGCAGCCGCGGUAAUACGUAGGGGGCUAGCGUUGUCCGGAAUCACUGGGCGUAAAGGGUUCGCAGGCGGAAAUGCAAGUCAGGUGUAAAAGGCAGUAGCUUAACUACUGUAAGCAUUUGAAACUGCAUAUCUUGAGAAGAGUAGAGGUAAGUGGAAUUUUUAGUGUAGCGGUGAAAUGCGUAGAUAUUAAAAAGAAUACCGGUGGCGAAGGCGACUUACUGGGCUCAUUCUGACGCUGAGGAACGAAAGCGUGGGUAGCAAACAGG
RNAcentral lists this ribosomal RNA (403 nucleotides) under bacterium. Its description in RNAcentral is "partial 16S ribosomal RNA". It matches the Rfam family "Bacterial small subunit ribosomal RNA", at positions 355 to 776 of the family's 1533-position model. The record is from RNAcentral.